UCCGGUUUAUCACCAGCAGUCUGCCUAGAGUCCCCAACUAAAUGAUGGUAACUAGGCACAAGGGUUGCGCUCGUUACGGGACUUAACCCAACAUCUCACGACACGAGCUGACGACAGCCAUGCAGCACCUGUCUCUUAGUUCCCGAAGGCACACCCACAUCUCUGUAGGCUUCUAAGGAUGUCAAGGGUAGGUAAGGUUUUUCGCGUUGCAUCGAAUUAAACCACAUGCUCCACCGCUUGUGCGGGCCCCCGUCAAUUUCUUUGAGUUUUAGCCUUGCGGCCGUAUUCCCCAGGCGGAGUACUUAAUGCGUUUGCGUCACUACCGAAAGGUCUUAGCCUUCCAACAGCUAGUACUCAUCGUUUACAGCGUGGACUAC
This 377-nucleotide unclassified non-coding RNA is filed under the name uncultured Gammaproteobacteria bacterium. Its description in RNAcentral is "contains 16S-23S intergenic spacer region". Lineage: Bacteria; Pseudomonadati; Pseudomonadota; Gammaproteobacteria. The record is from RNAcentral.